Molecule: non-coding RNA, 930 nt
Organism: Salmo salar (Atlantic salmon)
Lineage: Eukaryota; Metazoa; Chordata; Actinopteri; Salmoniformes; Salmonidae
Source: RefSeq, a predicted model, not a curated record
AUGAAUACCUGGAAUGACAUAUUAUUACUAGUUAGUAGAGGCUCUUCUGUCAUCAUUAUUUACCCAUACACCGGUGACGUCAGAAGGGACGUGAUUUCCUCAUAUGAAAGUGAAAGUAACUGUGUAGUCUACACCGUUACAAAAUGACUGUAGAAAAUGUAGCGCACAUUUCUCUGCAACAUUAGAAGUAGGAUAAAUGUGUUGAUUUGAAGGACAGACGUACAGACUCUGGUAAGUCUUGGCUACAUAUAACUAUUAUAAAGUUAGGUCGUAGUCAGACAUUCAAUAGACAGAGUAGGCUUGAGAUAUGAUUCUUUAUCAUGCUGACCAACCUGGGCCCGUUUUCCACGAUGGAAUUUAGGCUUAACGCUGGAAACGCAUAAGAAGUGGUAAACGAUAAUUAACAAAAUACAAAGUUGAGUAAACGCUAUUUUACAAAUAAAAAGGUGCUUAAGCGCGUUUACGUGGGUUUACCCUCCACUACAUCCCCGUUGAUGUGGUGUGCAGCGUAGAGUGUAUAGUCAUUUAGUCUCUAUAGACCAGGUGGCCAGUUGGUGAGAAACUGUUCAGAUGGGGUGGUUUAGACCACUGCACCACCCAGGAGGUGACUGAAAGUAAAUAUGUGAUUUUGUACAGGAUCCAUUUUGAGAUGACAGAGCAGAAAACACUAUAUGGACAAUACUGACAAAUAAAGGGAAGCCUGGGCAACUGAAAUGUCUGAGCUUUUUCAACAGUGUAACUAUGAACAUCUGUACCAAAACCAAAUGAAGGGAGACAUAGAUAUGAUUAAAAAACAACUGUUGAUGCGACAUGAAAAAAAGAUGGGUGGAGGAGAUGAAUCAUAAACCCAAAUUGAGAACCUUUUGUUUGAUUCAGGGUGAAUUGGUGUGUGAGAGAUAUAUUAUGUAUAACCUACCUAAAAGCAAGAGA